UCAGCUUGUCACUCUUUGAGAUGUUUGAAUUGGGUUGAGGUAGUGGAGAGCUAUUCAGAAUUAUGGGCAAGUCUUGUUGGUUAUUAUGUUAUUGUUGUAUAAGCAUAUUUUGUAUCUAAUGAAAUGUUGUCGAUGAAUCGAAAUGGAUAUACCUUGUAAAAGUGUUAGACGAUCUCUCUUAUUUGGAAUUUCGGAAUGUUAAGUCUAAUUUAUGAUGAUAUGAACUUGUGGUGAAUAGUUAGAGUUCUGAUUGUAUAAUUUAUUUAGCUUGUGGAUUUAUAAAUGUUGUUCAUGUUUGUCAAGUUGGCUUGGGUUGCCAUAA
Molecule: long non-coding RNA, 322 nt
Filed under: Musa acuminata (dwarf banana)
Lineage: Eukaryota; Viridiplantae; Streptophyta; Magnoliopsida; Zingiberales; Musaceae
Description: long non-coding RNA (MACU_LNC010468)
Source: RNAcentral